RNAcentral lists this ribosomal RNA (253 nucleotides) under uncultured bacterium. RNAcentral's name for it is "partial 16S ribosomal RNA". It matches the Rfam family "Bacterial small subunit ribosomal RNA", at positions 524 to 776 of the family's 1533-position model. The record is from RNAcentral.
GACGAAGGUGGCGAGCGUUGUUCGGAAUCACUGGGCAUAAAGCGCACGUAGGCGGUGACGUAAGUCGGGUGUGAAAUCCCUCGGCCUAACCGAGGAACUGCGCCCGAUACUGCGUUGCUUGAGGACCAGAGGGGUGCAUGGAAUUUCCGGUGGAGCGGUGAAAUGCGUUGAUAUCGGAAGGAACUCCGGCGGCGAAAGCGAUGCACUGGCUGGUUUCUGACGCUGAGGUGCGAAAGCUAGGGGAGCAAACAGG